This is a non-coding RNA of Sus scrofa (pig), 268 nucleotides long. Lineage: Eukaryota; Metazoa; Chordata; Mammalia; Artiodactyla; Suidae. The record is from RefSeq and is a predicted model, not a curated record.
AAGAAAGAAAAAAGAAAAAAAAAAGUCCUUCUGACAAUAAUAUAUUGCAGCUAACAGUUAUGGCCAGAUCAAGUCUAUCCGUGGGCAGUCGGACUGGCAAUGUGUCAGAUGAAGCUAGAGUAACCGCUUUCUGGGUCCAGGAACUUCACCAUCUGUAAUGGUAAGUGGGAGGGCAGAGAAAUUGGCAGAGAUUCCUGGAGUAGAAUUACCUGGAACUCUGGAAGAGGCUCAGAGCCUCAAGGUCUACAUAAUUUACUGGAAUAAACCC